GCGAAGGUGGCGGAAUUGGUAGACGCGCUAGCUUCAGGUGUUAGUGUCCUUACGGACGUGGGGGUUCAAGUCCCCCCCCUCGCACCC
Molecule: transfer RNA, 87 nt
Filed under: Salmonella enterica subsp. enterica serovar Enteritidis
Lineage: Bacteria; Pseudomonadati; Pseudomonadota; Gammaproteobacteria; Enterobacterales; Enterobacteriaceae
Description: tRNA-Leu
Rfam family: tRNA
About the family: Transfer RNA (tRNA) molecules are approximately 80 nucleotides in length.
Source: RNAcentral